RNAcentral lists this unclassified non-coding RNA (1484 nucleotides) under Haliotis rufescens (red abalone). RNAcentral describes it as "uncharacterized LOC124147553, transcript variant X2". Lineage: Eukaryota; Metazoa; Mollusca; Gastropoda; Lepetellida; Haliotidae. The record is from RNAcentral.
GUGGUAGAAUUGUCAGUUGUUGUUUUGUGCCGUUUCAAACACUAUUUCAGACAUAUGACGGUUUAUCACCUCGAUGGGUAACGGAGAAAGUGAAUCAAGUCUUGGACGUUUACCACUAACAAACCAAGGACUAUAGCCAACCAUGGCUAAACAUGGCACGACCCAGAAACGCAUUUCUGAUCCCAAGCCUAUACGACAGCGUAUUGCAAAGAUGAGGCUGGUCUACCCCUGUCAUGUCCUCGUGGUUGCUGUGGCUCACUCAGAUACAGACAGUUUUGUUGCGACUCCUCAAGUAAAUCCGUUGGUUUGCCAACUGGAGUAAUUGUUGCAAUCGUCUUUGCUGUCAUCCUCCCCCUUAUCCUUGUGUUUGGAAUCGCUUGCUGCUGUGUCUACUGUCGCGGGGCAUCAUCCAAGCAACAUCGUCACGUGAUACACACAAGUCAUCUUGCUGUGAUAAACACAGGUUAUUCAACAGAAACAGAUGACUUUGGAAACCCAAUUAGGCCGCCUUUAAGAGCAAGACAAUUCCGUCCCCCUUCUACAAAUUCUACAGCGCGUUCUCCACACGUUGACUACUCAACGACUUCAACAUCUGCGGUCCAGCCUCUGAAAGUCCCGCCGCCACACUACAAUGAGGGCAUAACAACGAAUACCACAGUACAUGAAGCAGGGCCAAUGAUAACAACUGUGUAAUUACUGGAAGAAACACGCUCGUUCAAACUUUCCUUCACUCGAUUGACCACCAUUGACUCCCCAAAAGAUUUGACUUCCCUUGCAAAGAUAUUUGCUAUGUGGGAUUUGCUCAGGACUGUGUUGUUGUGGACAGUCAAUAUUUUUACUUUGAAAAGAUUUUAUUUGGUUUAUAUUUUUAGGCAUGCAUGAUGUAUACUUACCCUUCCUUUCGUAUUUUAAGGGUGUUGUUGAUUGGACGAAACAAGAAAAUCAGGGUAUUGACAUCCUCUCAGGAAGAAUCAGGCAAUAGAUCCCACCACCUCGCUCAAUCGCUUACAUUUACCAGUUAUAAUGGGACGGCGUGGCUUGAUUAACGUCGAGGCUCUUCAUGAUAGAAUAGCCUUGUGCACUUUUGCAAACAUUUAUUUUUCUGGUAAUCCUCUUGUGAAGCAUGCCAAGACUCAUGAUGAAAACAAGGCAUUCAACAGUUUUCAUAAACGAGACAAGGAUGUGGGACAUAAUCUGAAUGUCAAUGUUGAUUUUGUUAAUGGUUGACGGAAAUGAGUGUCACCCCAGGGAACUGCCAUAUCAAAUCCGCCCAGACUCAGAAACGUGAAACCGAAGGGUUUCUGUUUGCUGCUCAAGACCAGUCACUUCCCACUUCCCACUUCCCACUUCCCACAAUGUGUGAAUUUGCAUCAAAAUGGAAAUAUGAAAUGUAGAUUAUGCAAUGAAUUUAAUGAGACUGCCCAACACAUUGUCAGUGGAUGCCCAGCUUUGGCACAAACACAGUAUCUUAAGCGACAUGAUGG